UACGUAGGUGGCAAGCGUUGUCCGGAUUUAUUGGGUUUAAAGGGUGCGUAGGCGGCCUUAUAAGUCAGUGCUGAAAUAUCCCGGCUUAACCGGGAGGGUGGCAUUGAUACUGUAGGGCUUGAGUCGAGUUGAGGUUGGCGGAAUUGACGGUGUAGCGGUGAAAUGCUUAGAUAUCGUCAAGAACACCGAUAGUGAAGACAGCUAACUAAGCUCAAACUGACGCUGAGGCACGAAAGUGUGGGGAUCAAACAGG
This 253-nucleotide ribosomal RNA is filed under the name uncultured bacterium. Its description in RNAcentral is "partial 16S ribosomal RNA". It matches the Rfam family "Bacterial small subunit ribosomal RNA", at positions 524 to 776 of the family's 1533-position model. The record is from RNAcentral.